CUGGAGGGGGAGCAGCAAGGACUAGGGACCCAAGAGACAGAGAAUUAAUUUCUUGGUACUCCUGCCCUUGCAGAUUGUGAAUGCCCUGG
RNAcentral lists this microRNA precursor (89 nucleotides) under Alligator mississippiensis (American alligator). Its description in RNAcentral is "microRNA ami-mir-9604 precursor". The record is from miRBase by way of RNAcentral. Lineage: Eukaryota; Metazoa; Chordata; Crocodylia; Alligatoridae.